Molecule: long non-coding RNA, 475 nt
Filed under: Equus asinus (donkey)
Lineage: Eukaryota; Metazoa; Chordata; Mammalia; Perissodactyla; Equidae
Description: lncRNA (ENSEASG00005034064.1)
Source: RNAcentral
CUAGGAGACCACAGGAGACUCCCAAUAAGACAACCUCUCAAAGUAACCAGGUCUGCACUGUUUUCAAAUUCAACCAGGUCAAACACCCAGUCCCACAUUUACAUCUUUGAGCUUCUAAGAGUGGACAAUAGCGCAUCACGCCAAGAUUUCUAUCAUCCGCUAUUCCUGAGUGCUGCCAUUUGUGAUUUGAGAGCUCUAAGAUGGUCCUCCAAGUAGCUUCAGUCAAGUCUGAGAAGCAGAUGAUAUCCAACCCAUGGCAAACCUACCUAGAGCUGUGCCGUCCAACGUGGUAUCCGCUAGGCACAUGCGGCUAUUGAGUGCUUGAAACGUGGCUGGUCCAAAUUGAGGUUUGCUGUAAGUAUAACACACAAACUGGAUUUUAAAGACAUAGCAUGACAAAAAAAAAGUCAAAUAUAUUGUUAAUAAUUCUUGUAUUGAUUACAUGUUGAAAUCACAUAUUAUAGAUAUACUGGGC